RNAcentral lists this ribosomal RNA (139 nucleotides) under Pseudomonas frederiksbergensis. RNAcentral describes it as "partial 23S ribosomal RNA". It matches the Rfam family "Bacterial large subunit ribosomal RNA", at positions 2783 to 2925 of the family's 2925-position model. Lineage: Bacteria; Pseudomonadati; Pseudomonadota; Gammaproteobacteria; Pseudomonadales; Pseudomonadaceae. The record is from RNAcentral.
AAGCGGGAAACCAACCUGAAAACGAGUGUUCCCUAUCAGAGCCGUGGAAGACGACCACGUUGAUAGGACGGGUGUGGAAGCAUGGCAACAUGUGAAGCUUACCGUUACUAAUAGCUCGAUCGACUUCUUCGUUCCCAUU